UGGGGAAUAUUGCACAAUGGGCGCAAGCCUGAUGCAGCGACGCCGCGUGGGGGAUGACGGCCUUCGGGUUGUAAACCUCUUUCAGCACAGACGAAGCGAGAGUGACGGUAUGUGCAGAAGAAGCACCGGCCAACUACGUGCCAGCAGCCGCGGUAAUACGUAGGGUGCGAGCGUUGUCCGGAAUUACUGGGCGUAAAGAGCUUGUAGGUGGUUUGUCGCGUUGUUCGUGAAAUCUCACGGCUUAACUGUGGGCGUGCGGGCGAUACGGGCGGCCUGAGGAACUGCGGGGAGACUGGAAUUCCUGGUGUAGCGGUGGAAUGCGCAGAUAUCAGGAGGAACACCGGUGGCGAAGGCGGGUCUCUGGGCAGUAACUGACGCUGAGAAGCGAAAGCGUGGGGAGCGAACAGG
Molecule: ribosomal RNA, 408 nt
Filed under: uncultured prokaryote
Also listed under: 1 other name
Description: bacterial SSU rRNA
Rfam family: Bacterial small subunit ribosomal RNA
Source: RNAcentral